This 420-nucleotide unclassified non-coding RNA is filed under the name Fusarium pseudoanthophilum. RNAcentral's name for it is "partial contains 28S ribosomal RNA, 28S-18S ribosomal RNA intergenic spacer, and 18S ribosomal RNA". Lineage: Eukaryota; Fungi; Ascomycota; Sordariomycetes; Hypocreales; Nectriaceae. The record is from RNAcentral.
GUACCUGAUCUUGAAGACUUCCACUGCGUGUCCCUCUGUACAGCUUUGCAGGCUCCGGCCUCGGCAGCGGGGGGUUCAUAGUGGUCGUCGACCUCCACGAAACUGCACGCUCCGGCGUGACAGCGUACUGGGGAUGCCUGUGUUUACGCAGUCCGGGCUUGCCUGGACCGCCAGCAGAUGGGCUCUGUGGAUGACUGGCCGCUGGCUAGACCUGAAACCUGAGCAACGGGAGGUAACCUCUCGCCGCGGACACCGGAAUGGUAGAAGCGGCGUGCUGCGUCCUCCUCUUGGGGCCCCUAAGCCACACCUCCCACAGCGGGUUCGGUGCGGCGGACGGACGCCCUGGGGAAUUUAGAGGGGGAAAGCGGAUUGCCCUAGCGGUGUUGUUGGCCCUGCCGACCUCACUGCGAAAGGCGCGAC